AGUGAACGCUGGCGGUAGGCCUAACACAUGCAAGUCGAACGGCAGCACAGUAAGAGCUUGCUCUUACGGGUGGCGAGUGGCGGACGGGUGAGGAAUACAUCGGAAUCUACUUUUUCGUGGGGGAUAACGUAGGGAAACUUACGCUAAUACCGCAUACGAUCUACGGGUGAAAGCAGGGGAUCUUUGGACCUUGCGCGAUUGAAUGAGCCGAUGUCGGAUUAGCUAGUUGGCGGGGUAAAGGCCCACCAAGGCGACGAUCCGUAGCUGGUCUGAGAGGAUGAUCAGCCACACUGGAACUGAGACACGGUCCAGACUCCUACGGGAGGCAGCAGUGGGGAAUAUUGGACAAUGGGCGCAAGCCUGAUCCAGCCAUACCGCGUGGGUGAAGAAGGCCUUCGGGUUGUAAAGCCCUUUUGUUGGGAAAGAAAAGCAGCAGGUUAAUACCCCGCUGUUCUGACGGUACCCAAAGAAUAAGCACCGGCUAACUUCGUG
RNAcentral lists this ribosomal RNA (492 nucleotides) under uncultured bacterium. RNAcentral describes it as "partial 16S ribosomal RNA". It matches the Rfam family "Bacterial small subunit ribosomal RNA", at positions 29 to 507 of the family's 1533-position model. The record is from RNAcentral.